This is a long non-coding RNA of Ictalurus punctatus (channel catfish), 1247 nucleotides long. RefSeq lists it as uncharacterized. The record is from RefSeq and is a predicted model, not a curated record. NCBI's taxonomy places the organism in Eukaryota, Metazoa, Chordata, Actinopteri, Siluriformes, Ictaluridae. The transcript has 2 exons.
UACGUUUUUCUCCCACAGCUGGUUAAUCAAAUAAGUUCAGCUGAAAAAAGCAUAAAAAAAGUUACAUUUUUAAAAUUUUAUUUGACUGGCUGUGUUUUGAAUGUCGAGGAGGCUCCAGUUCCAGUUCAUGCCAAGGAUGUUUGGUGGGGUUGAGGUCAGGGCUCUGUGUGGGACACUCCAGUUCUUCCACCUUCUUCCAACCUUAACACACCGUGUCUUCAUGGAGCUCGCUUUGUGCACAGGGGCAUUGUUGCAUUGUUAUGCAGCCAUGUUUAGCUAGGGGGUACUUGUCAAAGGGACAUCCACAUGGUUUCCCAGCAGAACAUUGUCCAGAGCAUCACACUGCCUCUGCCGGCUCGCCUUCUUGCCAUAGUGCAUCCUGGUGCCAUCUCUUCCCCGGCGUUUCCCAUCGGAGUUCACACGAGGCCUCUGUGGGAGUCUUUCCAGGCCGCUCGAGCUGAAAUCACACGGGAGAAAUGGACUAAAGUUUAAUAUCAGAGUCGUGCAUAACUGAGACAUUUCUGUUUUCAGCAAACUCCACCCAGGACAUGCAGCUCUCCUGCCUCAUACCUCAUACAUCUGAGGUAGUCACAGUGAAAACCUGGUGGGAACAAAACACUCAGUGGGAUUUUUUUUUUUUAAUCAGGAAUUAUUUUUUCCUUUAUUUUCUUUUUUUUUUCAUUAAGAAAUAUUUGAUGUGCUCCAAAACAUAGCUUCUAGCUAUAAACAAAUAUAUGGGUACAUUUUUUCCACACUAAUUUUCACAGUAAACUUCUUUAUUUCGCUUCUGCAAGCGUACAGUUUGACUCUCACUUCAUUAACAUCGUCCUCCUGAGCAUAUGUCUUUAUCUUUUAUUUGUGAGGCUGUGACAUGGUGACUGUGUGGUAAAAACCUGAAAGGAUCAAACCUUCUUGUCCGGCACCAAAAACCAUCCCACAGUCCCACAGGUUGAGGGUUCAAGCCCUGGUGCAGCCAAGCUGCCACUGUUGGACCCUUGAGCAAGAUCUCCAGGGGUGCUGUAUCAUGGCUGACCCUGUGCUCUUACCCCACCUUCCUAACAUGCUGGGGUAUGUGAAGAAAAGAAUUUCACUGUGCUAUAAUGUAUAGGUGACCAAUAAAGACUCAUUAUUAUUAAUUUCGUUUCAUUAAUAGACCUGUAUGAGUUCUGAAUCAAGCUGCUGCCACAUGACUGGCUGAUUGGAUCACUGCAUUAAGGAGCAGGUAUGCACUGUUCCUAAUAAAGUGG